RNAcentral lists this long non-coding RNA (933 nucleotides) under Zonotrichia albicollis (white-throated sparrow). RNAcentral describes it as "lncRNA (ENSZALG00000013263.1)". Lineage: Eukaryota; Metazoa; Chordata; Aves; Passeriformes; Passerellidae. The record is from RNAcentral.
UUCACCACCAGCCAGAGAUAUUUCUGACAGGUUCCUUUCUUCCUCCUACCUUGACAAAAAGUUGAUUAAAACUUCAUUAUAUUUUUAAAGAUUAUUUUCUUCAUAGGAAACAGGGAAGUUCCUACUACUGUCUGGAAUUCUAAAUGCUAUUAUUAUCACAGAGAAAAAGCCCAGCCCUUGAUGUGCCAGCACAAGGCUUCUGCUUUCACAUGGAAAGAGGUCUGAGCUGGAGGCAGCUGAAGGGCAGAGUGCUGCCAAGCACUGGCAGCGAUAGCUGGACCUGAGUGAAGAGUUGCCCUUGGGUUUAAUGUGAGUCAAAAGCCUUUACUCACCACAAGAGAGCAAAAGGCAGCUUACAACAGGAGGUUAAGUAAUUCCCCACUAUCCAUCUCUGAAGUGCAAACAGUACAGCCUUGAUGUGCCCCAGGGAAAGGAAGCAAACCAGCCUUUGAAUCUUUACCCAACCUUACUGCUCAUAUUUUGCUUUCACUGACAUCUUUUUCAGAGAGAGAUCCUCAGCCUGUAAGUGCAGCUGGAAAGCAAACUGGAAUUUCACAAACAUUGGAGUUGCUGCGUACGAGGGCCCAGCUCCGGGCUGGCCCUGCCGGGGUCGCUGCUGGCGGAGCUGCUCUGGGGCUCGCACUGCUCGGUGCCGGCGCUGCCCGCACCGGGGCUGGUUUGCAAACAAGAUUAAAGGUACUUGCCUUACUGGUAGUCGAAGCUCCCGCGCUGCGGUGUCUUGGAUUACCUUUGUUUGAAUAAUACCACUCACUUUGCUCCUAACGUGCCACCUGCACAGCAAAUUUCUAGCCUCUCCGGGUGUUCAGUUUAUUCAAAGCCUAUUUUUAAUUCUGUUAAUUGUAACCCGUGCUCCGCUACCCUGUUUGGACCUGCAGCAGCAGCCGGGGUGAGGCAGCCGCGGGGCAGGGCUGU